GCCUCUGUAGGUAAGUGGUUAGAGGACUGGUUUUGUAAACCAGGGGUCGAGAGUUCGAGUCUUUUCAGAGCCU
Non-coding RNA from Nematostella vectensis (starlet sea anemone), 73 nucleotides. NCBI's taxonomy places the organism in Eukaryota, Metazoa, Cnidaria, Anthozoa, Actiniaria, Edwardsiidae. The record is from Rfam.